ACAAGCUUCUUCUUGUGGACAUAGAUUUGAUGCGAGUAAGCUCAAUUUCUCUUUGAGAAAGACAUCCAAAUUAUUGUCUUUUAAAACCAAUGGCGGUCCUUACAAAAAAACCGCCGUUUAAAUUGUAAAAUCAACGUCGGUAUGACUGACGUAUAUUACAGAAAUCCACGUCGGUACAUUAAUAAAAACGACGUGUUAAAUAAUCUACCAUGACGCAAGUUAUUACUUAUGUACUUUAAUUUUUGAGUUUACUACGACGGUACCUACAACUCUACUGUCGUAUUUAUUUACCACGUCCGAAGUUAAAUGUACCAUCUUAUUUUGUAAUUUAUACGUCGUAGUUAUAUGUGAC
Molecule: long non-coding RNA, 352 nt
Filed under: Prunus persica (peach)
Lineage: Eukaryota; Viridiplantae; Streptophyta; Magnoliopsida; Rosales; Rosaceae
Description: long non-coding RNA (PPER_LNC003426)
Source: RNAcentral